UCUUUGCUGUUUUCAAAUCAGCCAGAAACAACCCAGUUAUCUCCAGCUGAGAACUCAGAGAGGAGUUUUCAAGCAUCUUUUACCACCUCUGUGGACUCUGUCCAAAAAGAUUGAUCCCCAAAAAAUCUGAUGGUUUUGACUUCAAGGCAAGUCAGCACUCAUAGAGAAAACACUCUAACUUCUGUAUGGAUGACAUGGACUGGGACCUAUGGAAUGGCAUCAUCUCUCUUUGCCCCAAACUGAGUUGAAUCCAAUAUCCAUUUCCUGAAUUGACUCACAAAUGCAGCAGAAGUUUUUGAAGCACUUCUUGUGCAAAUCUCAGCCAUGAAAGAGAAGCAGUCACCUCUCAGGGUCCUGAACCACCUCAAGGAAAAUGGCAACGUCAACGUUUACAGGAGAUGGAAGAAGGAAAAAAUAACUGCCUUCAGUUAUUCUGCAGGGACUGAAGACGAGUAAGCUUGGAAUUUUACAUAGCAGUGACAUGAGAAGGGUGCAGGAAGCAUGAAGAUUUCAUUUAUUGAAUACGAAAAUAUGAAUGAUUGUUAUAAAUCAUAAGUUUACUGCAGUUAUCACUUGAGUGGAGCUCACUUUUGACAAGGUUCAGUGAGAGGAGCAGGGGAACAAUUGUUUGCCUUUUGGGUUUUUUCCCAUUCAUAGGAGAAAAAUAUGCAAAUUAGAGCCCUGUCAAACGCAGGAGAUACAUCUCAUGCAAGGUCUUGUAAUAUGGCUUUGUUCCAAACUAGAACAAAACUCCAACAUUUCCAAAUGUUCAAUGAAGAAAAUUGUCAGAGAAAAACAAUCUAACCUAUGUUCACAGAAUUAUUUCACUUUGUCAAAACUGGUGCUCUGUUUUCACUUUGAAUACUUCAUAUUUUUUAUAUAACGCAUCUAACCUGAUGCUAAAUAAAAUACCUCAUGCAAAACUUUCAAGUCUAACAACACUGGAAAAUGGCAGCAUCCAGGAAUGGCACUUUGAAAGAACAGUUACCAAAAUCUUCACAGAUGUCUACUGAGAUUUUUGAGAAGUGAAUUUCAGUCAUUUAUUGGUUUGUAAUUGCUCAUUCAAAUGAGUAAUGUUGAGCAAGUCAUCCACUAUGAAACACCAAGAAGCAGGGAGGCCACCUGAUGUACACCCACCCCUGCCCAGUAAUUCCAUCUCAGUAUGAUCCCAGCAGUGCCUAAGGAAACCCAAGAAGAUGUGAGGAAGGGUCAUCACAGUGUGAGCUGUGUGCCUCUAACCAAAUGCCAUCAGCCACUGCUCCAAGUCCCAAACAUUUUCAGAUGAACAGUCCUGGCAGACAAUGUUAAUGAGUUUCCUUCAUGAUUUGAGUCAGGAUGGACUGCAGGCUGGGUUUCCAUAAUCUUGGAAGAUGCUCCUGUCAAUUAGCUUUGAUUUGGAACCAGCAAGACCAAGGUCAGCAGAUGUGCCCAGCCCACACCAGGUGGGGUUCUACAUGUCCUAGAAUGGCCAUUGGCUAUAAUGGAAUAUUUAAGGCUGCAUUAUCCUUUCUGCAAUUAUUUCCAGUAACUACCUAGCAUGUAACCUGGGUGUGGAAAUGGGAAUACAUGUUUUGAAACAACUGAAGCCAACCCUGGGAAAAGGGCUGUGCAGCUCUUUCUCAGCUGCCACAAUGUUGAUCCUGUGGGGCUUGUUUGGUUUUGUUUGUUUAGUAAUCAAGCAGGGACCUUUUUAGUCCCCGUGUAAUCACUGGGGCAUAACUUGCUCACAUGUGGUCAUGACACAGCUCCCUCACAAUCCCUCCCUACUGAGUACCUGAGGUGUGACCACAGCACAGCCUUGGGGGGCAUUGUUCAUCCCUUGUUCCACGCUGCACUUACAGCUUGAUCAGUGCAGUUUAAUCACUGAUAUAUAACUGUGUCAGAGCUCAAACCACCACAUUUCUCACAGUAACCUGGUGGUACAGAGUAGACCUCUGAAAUGCAAAGCGUUGGGUUGGAGAGUUGUUUGACUCCUGCCAUUCAUUUCUUUCCUCACAGAGCAUUGAUGCACUGAAAUUCCCAUCACAAGGAGCUAUCAUUAACUAGUGCACAUUUAUUUGCUUAAGGAGUCUAAUAAUCACUCAUCAAAUUUCUGCACUUGUUUUCUGGCAUUGUAUUUCAUCACUUGGUAGAGUAUGAAACAUUAUCAUUCUUUACACAAGUUUGUUAACGGAAUAUUUAU
Long non-coding RNA from Corvus hawaiiensis (hawaiian crow), 2182 nucleotides. RefSeq lists it as uncharacterized. Lineage: Eukaryota; Metazoa; Chordata; Aves; Passeriformes; Corvidae. The transcript is spliced from 4 exons. The record is from RefSeq and is a predicted model, not a curated record.